Molecule: transfer RNA, 85 nt
Filed under: Candidatus Curtissbacteria bacterium
Lineage: Bacteria; Candidatus Curtissiibacteriota
Description: tRNA-Tyr
Rfam family: tRNA
About the family: Transfer RNA (tRNA) molecules are approximately 80 nucleotides in length. Their secondary structure includes four short double-helical elements and three loops (D, anti-codon, and T loops).
Source: RNAcentral
GCUGCGGUGCCAGAGUGGACAAUUGGAAUGGUCUGUAAAACCAUCGCCCGAAAGGGCUACGAAGGUUCGAAUCCUUCCCGCAGCA